UUGACCGUACUAAGGUAGCAUAAUAAUUUGCCUUUUAAUUGGAGGCUAGUAUGAAUGGCUUGACGUGAAAUAUACUGUCUCAACUAUAUUUAGUAGAAUUUAACUUUUAGGUGAAGAGGCCUAAAUUUUGUGGGAAGACAAGAAGACCCUAUUGAGCUUUAAAUAUUUAUGUUAGUGGGAGCCUAAGAUUUAUAUGAUGGUCAUUACUUCUAAGUAUGUUGGUUGGGGUGACCGAGGAGUAUAAAGUAACCUCCUUGUAAUGUAAAGAAUUUGUUAUCAACGAACCUGUAAUAUAGGUUAUUCGGUAGUUACCAUAGGGAUAACAGCGUAAUUCUUUUGAAGAGUUCAUAUCGAAGAAAGAGAUUGCGACCUCGAUGUUGGAUUAAGGUGUCCUAAGGG
RNAcentral lists this ribosomal RNA (399 nucleotides) under Nautilus pompilius. RNAcentral describes it as "partial 16S ribosomal RNA". It matches the Rfam family "Bacterial large subunit ribosomal RNA", at positions 1942 to 2553 of the family's 2925-position model. Lineage: Eukaryota; Metazoa; Mollusca; Cephalopoda; Nautilida; Nautilidae. The record is from RNAcentral.